This 253-nucleotide ribosomal RNA is filed under the name uncultured bacterium. RNAcentral describes it as "partial 16S ribosomal RNA". It matches the Rfam family "Bacterial small subunit ribosomal RNA", at positions 524 to 776 of the family's 1533-position model. The record is from RNAcentral.
GACGUAGGGCGCAAGCGUUGUCCGGAUUUAUUGGGCGUAAAGGGUGCGUAGGCGGUUUGGCAAGUCUCAUGUGAAAUCUAUGGGCUCAACCCAUAGUCUGUAUGAGAAACUGCCGGGCUUGAGUAUUGGAGAGGUGAGUGGAAUUUCCGGUGUAGCGGUGAAAUGCGUAGAUAUCGGAAGGAACACCUGUGGCGAAAGCGGCUCACUGGACAAUAACUGACGCUGAGGCACGAAAGCUAGGGGAGCAAACAGG